GGAAGACCUCCUGAUUUGGGAGACAAGAGAAGGACACUUAAAGAGUUUACCAAAGCCAUAGAAAAAAUAACCAUGGACUCCAGGAUUUAAACCCAGGUCUGUCCCCAGAGCCUGAGCUUUUAACCACCAUUGAGGUCCUAGCAUCAGGACCGAGUCAACGAAACUACUGUGGAAGUAGGCCCAGUUCUAGCACAAAUGCAGAGAAGAUGUGGAAUAAAGUAUAAUCCAAAUAAAUCUCCAGGUGCUAGGAAUGAAGAGAACCAUCAAAGGCAGAGCAGCUAGCUGAGCUGAUGUCAUAGUAGCCCAGAAGAAUAUGGAUCUGGAGUUAGGGCCGGGGGCUAAUACCUGUGAGAGGACAGGAGGAAGGCAGCGAGCCCUGCAUAAAAUUGAAGGCCUUGAGCUGGCAUGGUGGCACAUGCCUGUAGUCCUAGCCACUUGGGAGGCUGAAGCAGGAGGACCGCUUGAGCCCAGGGGUUUGAGGCCAGUCUGGGCAACAUAGUGAGACUCCGUAUCUUAAAAUAAAUAAAUAAAUAAAUAAAUAAAUAAAUAAGGCCUUGUGGCACUCUUCCCCCCUUAAAUGGAGAUAGAAAAACUGGACAUGGGCCCUGGGAAUCAGCCAGGAAGCUCACCAUUUGUUUAAGGUCUGGAACAUGAGGGGGAAAAUGUCAUCCAGAGAAACCUAAACCCUGGGCCUAUGCCAUGUGCAUAGGAGUGAGGGCCAUUGACACACUCAGCAUUCUGGCAGAAGCAAAUGUGUGAAUCAUCUCCGCGGAGAAAAUGUUACUACUCAAGAGUUUCAAGGAUUCCCAUUGGGAGAAACAACCUGCUGAAGACAAGUUCACAAUAAAAAAUUACAAACACCCUACUAUGCUGGUGAGAGUCAAAUCCUGUCUAAGAUUUAAAGAGUGAAAAAUAGGUUGGACUGGAAAAAGAAAGAAAAGAAAAAGCAACUGUCAAUUCAAGCCAGAAAGAAGACAGACAUAAAGAAAGCCAGCUGCAAAGUUCACAGGAACAUUGCUUCCCCCAAAGUCAGUCGGCAGCUGUAAAAUGCCAUAAAGACCCCCUCUUUGAACGUUGACUGCUUUCCUACCAAACUCCCAGACAGCUUUGCCAUACCCACCUAUUGCUGGUUAGCCCAUUGCUGAGCUACUGCUGCCUCAUGGCAGCACCCAAUACCUACUUAAUCCCCACUUCUCUUAACUGACCCCACCCCCAACCAGAGUAGGAGCAACCAAUCCAGAACUGAUGCCUACUUCCCUUAGAAUCUUCAGAAUCCUUCAGCAGCUUCCUGUCUUCCCUCUUUGGAGCGACACUCCACAUUUCCCCCGGAGUGGCCUCCCUUGCUGGACUGAGUUAAUAACUAAUUUGGUCAGACUACAGACUGGCUCCUGAUGCUCCGUGGUGAUUAGAUUUUUAUCAGUAGAGAGUUAGCAUAUGCAACAAACAGAAAAAUUGGCACUUAACCAAAAGUCAAUAGAGAAUCUAGAGGAUGCUAUAAAUAAUAAGUUGACUUUAAAUGAUUAAAGAAAUGAUGGUGAUAAUGAUAAUGAUAGCAAACAUAUAAUGCUGUUCUAAGGGCUUCACAAAAUAUUAACUCAUUCAAUCCUCACAAAGUUCCUGUGAAGUAGGUACUAUUGCUUUCUCUCUUUUACAGAUGAGAUAUUAGGAAAUUUGCUCAUGGUUACCACAAGCUAUUAGAGUGGCAGAGCUGAGAUUUGAACCCACGCAGUUUAGUUCCAGAGCAUAUGCAACUAAUCACUAUAAAUUAAAAAGCAACAGGACACUAUUAAAUAAAAGUAGGCCAAUUUGAAGGAAGAACCAAAUCAAACUUCCAGAAAUGAAAAAUAGAGUCACUCAUUCAUUCAUUCGUCAAAUAUUUAUUGAGCUCAUAUAAUGUGCCAGACACACAGAGGCUCUGAGGAUAUUGCAGUGAACAAACCAGACAAAAAUCCUUGUCCUAGUAGAGUUUACUUCUUUUUUUUUGGGGAUGGUGUCUCGCUCUGUC
This 2005-nucleotide long non-coding RNA is filed under the name Homo sapiens (human). RNAcentral's name for it is "HSALNT0106260". The record is from RNAcentral. Lineage: Eukaryota; Metazoa; Chordata; Mammalia; Primates; Hominidae.